UUCGAAUUUUGCGUUCGAACCCUGAAGCGUUCGAAGUACGAGAUCAGGGUGCAGAAUUAACACCUGACCGGAUAAUUAUAGUUGCGGUCCGUAGUCAACUUUAAUCGUUCUUACUCAUUAAUUAAUUUACUGUCAGCAGGAAUGUCCCACCCAGUCUAGUUGAAUGUUCGUCAUUUUAACUGGGGAUUUUUUUUAUGAGUACUGCGCUACUUCCUUGCAAAUUAUGGGAGAAUUGAUGAAGUAACCUAUAGAGAGGGAAGAUACAGUGAUAAUGAACUAAAAUGAUAGCAGCUGGCUUAUAAAUUUAUUUUGAAAAAAGAUAACAAGCAAAUAGACAGUGUUAUAUCGUAUAAGUAUGCAGCCAAUAAUAUCAAUAUAUGAAUUGAUACGUUGUAGAAACAAACAACAGUGAAAGAAAUGUAAAUGGCUGUGGAGUCGGAGUCGGAGUCGUGGAGUUUUGGUGUUUUAGCCGGAGUCGGAG
Molecule: long non-coding RNA, 481 nt
Filed under: Centruroides sculpturatus (bark scorpion)
Lineage: Eukaryota; Metazoa; Arthropoda; Arachnida; Scorpiones; Buthidae
Description: uncharacterized LOC111622293, transcript variant X1
Source: RNAcentral